This 2214-nucleotide ribosomal RNA is filed under the name Triticum aestivum (bread wheat). RNAcentral's name for it is "partial small subunit ribosomal RNA". The record is from RNAcentral. Lineage: Eukaryota; Viridiplantae; Streptophyta; Magnoliopsida; Poales; Poaceae.
AUGGAUUUGGCAGAAUCUACAAAGGCCCUGUUGCAAGUAUGGAAGGAACGGGACAUUCAGAUGACGGUGCUCACCAGCCUCACGGUGCAACUCUUCCUGCUAUUCACCGGUGACCUCCGGAGGCGCAGAAUCAGUGGGUUGCUUAGGUCCAUAAUUUGGCUGGCAUACGUGGGUGCUGAUCCUGUUGCCAUCUACGCCAUCGGCCUUUUUACCGAGGAAACACAUAAUUUAAGAAGGGAGCAAUCAUCGGGGGAUCAGACGCUGCGGCUCCUUUGGGCACCCUUUCUCCUCCUUCACCUAGGAGGACAGGACACCAUCACUGCCUUCUCCAUCGAGGACAACAAUCUGUGGCUGCGGCACUUGCUCAAUCUGGUGCUCCAAGUCACUCUAACCUUGUAUGUCUUGUGGAAGUCGUUUGAGAAAUUGGAAGUGCAGCUGCUAGCCAUUGCCAUACCAAUUUUUGUUGCUGGGACAAUCAAGUACGGGGAGAGGACAUGGGCACUCUAUAACGGGAGCCGAGACUACCUCGGUAGUGGCUACGAGAGGGAGGAGAAACCGCGACGGGAUUACAGAAGUACUCAUUGUGGUGAUGUCAUGGCAACUUAUGCUCUUAACACGGUACUCCGUGUCAGAGGAUUGCUUGUGGGACGAACAUUGUUCCAACUGGGAUGGGAGAGUCAGAAGGAGCUGGUGGGUGAUUUCGCAGUGCAUGGACAGAGAGAAGGGAAGCUCAAGAUCGUCAUGGUGGAGCUUGGCAUGAUGUACGAUCUCCUCUACACCAAGGCCGUGGUGUUGCAAAGCCGGAUCGGUCGCAUACUCCGGUGCUUUGCCGAGAUGUGCAUGGUGGUGGCCUUUGUGCUCUUCGUGGCAAACCCCAGGUUGCAUGCCCACCACAGCAGAGCCAAUAUCGUCAUCACCUAUACAUUGUUUGUUGGGGCCAUGUUUAUGGAAUCUUGUUCAGUCUCCAUGGUGAUAGUAUCAGUCUGGACAAGGGCGGGAUCGAAAAAAGGCAGCUUUCUCUAUUGGUUGUCUUGCAGUGCUUCCUCUCUUUGGAACGCCGUCAUGCGACGAUUUCAGACAAAUCAGCAGCAGCAGCCGUCCAUGGGGCAAUUUAACCUUGUAGACUACUCAAUUUAUGAGAAAUGCAUGCCCAGCCUCAUCUCCAAGGUCAUCACUGCACUGGGUCUGGAGAAAAAAUGGAGAAAUAUUUGGCAUGUCCAUCACAUCAAGGUGGACAACGAGAUGAGCAACUACAUCGAGACAUUGCUCUGCUCUGGGGUGGGAUCCCAGCGGCUAAAUCUUGGCCGGGAAAUGAACUAUGUGUUGAGAGCUCCUUUCGAGCAUGCCCUUUUCCGUCUACACAUCUUUACAGACAUGCAUUUGAGCAGGGUAGACUUACCAGGAGACGAGGAGACGGCACAGCUUGCGGCGGAGUGCAGGAAGCUAUCACAGUAUCUUAUUUACCUGAUGGCGGUUUACCCUUCCCUGUUGCCGGUGAGCAACGCCGCGCAAGAUCUUGAACACUUCUACGUCAAGUGGGUCAGAGACAAUACAGGCAGCAAUACCAUGAGAAAGCAAGAGAUUCUAAACAAGUAUGCAACUGAAAAGCUCUACAACGAGGAGGCCUACUCGAGGUCUCCCUUCGAACUGCUACCUCCUUCUGCGGAAUCGUUGAGGGUGAUAAAGGAGGUGUGGGCGAGGCUGCUCAUCUACGCGGCUGCCAAGUGCCCCGUGGAGCUACAUGCGCGGCAGCUCAGCGACGGGCUCGAGCUCCUCACCGUCGUCUGGUUGCUUAUGCUGCAUCAUGGUGCUGGGGAUGUGGGGUGGAGGGAGGUCGACCUCGUGGCAUCUGAUGACUCUGCUAUGCCUACAGCGGAGGCACUGGUGCCGUGCCAAGGAAGUAACUGGAUACGGCGUCAACCCAGGCAUCUCUACGCCUUUGAGUUCCAGCAAACACAAGAAGCGACAGCAUUUGUGGCAUCUUGGGCUCCCCUGCUUCCGGCAGAUGGUGUAGAUUUGACGGAGGAUAUUUUGCAAGGAGUGAUGUUCGGCUCAUUGCAACCCGCAGUACCCUCGUCACCAACGAACAACUCCACCGAAACAACAUCAGAGAUAGAGGAAACAACAUCAGAGACAGAGCAAGAUGGUCAUGUAGAACGGGGCAAAGAGCAUGCAGUGGACGUACCACCGGAGAUUGAGCACAAGGGCAAAUGA